UAUACAUGCAAGUCGAGCGAACUGAUUAGAAGCUUGCUUCUAUGACGUUAGCGGCGGACGGGUGAGUAACACGUGGGCAACCUGCCUGUAAGACUGGGAUAACUUCGGGAAACCGAAGCUAAUACCGGAUAGGAUCUUCUCCUUCAUGGGAGAUGAUUGAAAGAUGGUUUCGGCUAUCACUUACAGAUGGGCCCGCGGUGCAUUAGCUAGUUGGUGAGGUAACGGCUCACCAAGGCAACGAUGCAUAGCCGACCUGAGAGGGUGAUCGGCCACACUGGGACUGAGACACGGCCCAGACUCCUACGGGAGGCAGCAGUAGGGAAUCUUCCGCAAUGGACGAAAGUCUGACGGAGCAACGCCGCGUGAGUGAUGAAGGCUUUCGGGUCGUAAAACUCUGUUGUUAGGGAAGAACAAGUACGAGAGUAACUGCUCGUACCUUGACGGUACCUAACCAGAAAGCCACGGCUAACUACGUGCCAGCAGCCGCGGUAAUACGUAGGUGGCAAGCGUUAUCCGGAAUUAUUGGGCGUAAAGCGCGCGCAGGCGGUUUCUUAAGUCUGAUGUGAAAGCCCACGGCUCAACCGUGGAGGGUCAUUGGAAACUGGGGAACUUGAGUGCAGAAGAGAAAAGCGGAAUUCCACGUGUAGCGGUGAAAUGCGUAGAGAUGUGGAGGAACACCAGUGGCGAAGGCGGCUUUUUGGUCUGUAACUGACGCUGAGGCGCGAAAGCGUGGGGAGCAAACAGGAUUAGAUA
This 753-nucleotide ribosomal RNA is filed under the name Priestia megaterium. RNAcentral describes it as "bacterial SSU rRNA". It matches the Rfam family "Bacterial small subunit ribosomal RNA", at positions 50 to 784 of the family's 1533-position model. Lineage: Bacteria; Bacillati; Bacillota; Bacilli; Caryophanales; Bacillaceae. The record is from RNAcentral.